RNAcentral lists this ribosomal RNA (464 nucleotides) under uncultured Klebsiella sp. RNAcentral describes it as "bacterial SSU rRNA". It matches the Rfam family "Bacterial small subunit ribosomal RNA", at positions 338 to 795 of the family's 1533-position model. Lineage: Bacteria; Pseudomonadati; Pseudomonadota; Gammaproteobacteria; Enterobacterales; Enterobacteriaceae. The record is from RNAcentral.
CCUACGGGCGGCAGCAGUGGGGAAUAUUGCACAAUGGGCGCAAGCCUGAUGCAGCCAUGCCGCGUGUGUGAAGAAGGCCUUCGGGUUGUAAAGCACUUUCAGCGGGGAGGAAGGCGGUGAGGUUAAUAACCUCAUCGAUUGACGUUACCCGCAGAAGAAGCACCGGCUAACUCCGUGCCAGCAGCCGCGGUAAUACGGAGGGUGCAAGCGUUAAUCGGAAUUACUGGGCGUAAAGCGCACGCAGGCGGUCUGUCAAGUCGGAUGUGAAAUCCCCGGGCUCAACCUGGGAACUGCAUUCGAAACUGGCAGGCUAGAGUCUUGUAGAGGGGGUAGAAUUCCAGGUGUAGCGGUGAAAUGCGUAGAGAUCUGGAGGAAUACCGGUGGCGAAGGCGGCCCCCUGGACAAAGACUGACGCUCAGGUGCGAAAGCGUGGGGAGCAAACAGGAUUAGAUACCCGUGUAGUC